GAUGCAUUGUGGGAUUGUAAGCUUGUGAUUGGUCAAUGUCCACUAUGUUUCCCAGUGUUCCAUCUACUCCCCUAGGGGAGUAUCCACCAGGUGGGAGACCUGCAUAAAAGCCAGGCAGGUAGCCCCAGUAAAUCAGUUCUACUUCACCCUCAAUCUGCGUCCUGUCUAUUAUUGGGGGAAUCUGCUACAAGGGAUUGCUAUGCUCUGCAUAUUCCCUAGCUAUAAUCACUGAG
Non-coding RNA from Pelobates cultripes (western spadefoot toad), 233 nucleotides. Lineage: Eukaryota; Metazoa; Chordata; Amphibia; Anura; Pelobatidae. The record is from the annotation of a GenBank genome assembly.